RNAcentral lists this ribosomal RNA (119 nucleotides) under Cyprinus carpio x Culter alburnus. Lineage: Eukaryota; Metazoa; Chordata; Actinopteri; Cypriniformes. The record is from RNAcentral.
GCUUACGGCCAUACCAACCUGCUAUGCCCGAUCUCGUCUGAUCUCGGAAGCUAAGUAGGGUCGGUCCUGGUUAGUACUUGGAUGGGAGACCGCCUGGGAAUACCAGGUGCUGUAAGCUU